Molecule: ribosomal RNA, 433 nt
Filed under: uncultured bacterium
Lineage: Bacteria
Description: bacterial SSU rRNA
Rfam family: Bacterial small subunit ribosomal RNA
Source: RNAcentral
UGGGGAAUAUUGCACAAUGGGCGCAAGCCUGAUGCAGCCAUGCCGCGUGUAUGAAGAAGGCCUUCGGGUUGUAAAGUACUUUCAGCGAGGAGGAAGGCGUUGUAGUUAAUAGCUGCAACGAUUGACGUUACUCGCAGAAGAAGCACCGGCUAACUCCGUGCCAGCAGCCGCGGUAAUACGGAGGGUGCAAGCGUUAAUCGGAAUUACUGGGCGUAAAGCGCACGCAGGCGGUCUGCCAAGUCGGAUGUGAAAUCCCCGGGCUCAACCUGGGAACUGCAUUCGAAACUGGCAGGCUAGAGUCUUGUAGAGGGGGGUAGAAUUCCAGGUGUAGCGGUGAAAUGCGUAGAGAUCUGGAGGAAUACCGGUGGCGAAGGCGGCCCCCUGGACAAAGACCGACGCUCAGGUGCGAAAGCGUGGGGAGCAAACAGGAUUA